This 119-nucleotide ribosomal RNA is filed under the name Pteropus alecto (black flying fox). Lineage: Eukaryota; Metazoa; Chordata; Mammalia; Chiroptera; Pteropodidae. The record is from RNAcentral.
AACUACAGCCAUGCCACCUGGAACAAGCCCAAUCCCCUCUGAUCUCGGAAGCUAAGUAGGGUUGGACUUGGUUAGUACUUGGAUGGGAAACCACCUAGGAAGACCAGGUGCUGUAGGUG